GACGAACGCUGGCGGCGUGCUUAACACAUGCAAGUCGAACGGAAAGGCCCUUCGGGGUACUCGAGUGGCGAACGGGUGAGUAACACGUGGGUGAUCUGCCCUGCACUUUGGGAUAAGCCUGGGAAACUGGGUCUAAUACCGAAUAGGACCACGCGCUUCAUGGUGUGUGGUGGAAAGCUUUUGCGGUGUGGGAUGGGCCCGCGGCCUAUCAGCUUGUUGGUGGGGUAAUGGCCUCCCAAGGCGACGACGGGUAGCCGGCCUGAGAGGGUGACCGGCACCACUGGGACUGCGAUACGGCCCAGACUCCUACGGGAGGCAGCAGUGGGGAAUAUUGCACAAUGGGCGCAAGCCUGAUGCAGCGACGCCGCGUGAGGGAUGACGGCCUUCGGGUUGUAAACCUCUUUCAAUAGGGACGAAGCGCAAGUGACGGUACCUAUAGAAGAAGCACCGGCCAACUACGUG
Molecule: ribosomal RNA, 462 nt
Filed under: uncultured bacterium
Lineage: Bacteria
Description: partial 16S ribosomal RNA
Rfam family: Bacterial small subunit ribosomal RNA
Source: RNAcentral